AGAAAGGGAGAAAGAGCUGAUCCUGCAGUCCCCCAGCGGCCUAGACCUGAUGGUUCCACCCCUUGAGGUCUCCACCGCCUCUCAGUGGUGCUCAACUGGUACUACGAUUCCAAAAAUAGAGAAAAAUAAGCACGAUUGUCAGAAUCUGAGUCCAGGGUGAGAGGCACAAGGUCUUCCCUGAGUCAGACACUUAGGGCCAGUGGGACCCAAACUGGUGAUCCUCCUGCCUCAGCCUCCCAGAGUGCUGUGGUUACAGGCAUGCACCACCAUGCUUGACCCACUCAUGUCUUUCUUAAAUCUUUCCUUAUUCUUCUGGUUUCAUGGGAGGCUUGAAAUAUGACAACUGUCGUCAAAGGUCAUUUGGAUUUGAGUCAAGAGACGAACAGGUGAAUUUCUUAAGGCAAGUCCCUCCACGCAGGUCAGACUUCCUUCGGUGCCGUUACCAAUUUCCUAAGAAUCAUGAGUGCUCCAAAGGCCCAACUUGCCUUGUCUGGGAUUCAAUUCUACUGCAAUCAAUGACUUGAGAAAUUUUUCAUUCUGAAGAUGUUGCUGGCUCCUCUAAGGGGAGGUGUUUGAAUCACCUGUUAAUAUUGCAGUGAGGCACCCUUUCACCUUUCAAGUUUAGAUCUGGCCCCCUAAGAUUAAAAAUUAGUCCCAAUCUCCAGAACCUGCAUCUGUGUCACCGUCCAUGGCACCAGGACUUGGCUGUGUGAUUAAGGUUAAGGACUUGAGCCAGGGAUUUAGCUCAGUGGUUCCAGUGCCUACCUUGAAAGCACAAGGUCCUGAGUUUGAUCCCCAGUACCAAAAGAAAAAAAAGAAGGUAAAAGACUUGAGAUGGGAGAUCAUCCUGGAUUAUCUGGCUGGGCCCAGUAUAACCACAGGAAUCCUGAAAAGUGGAGAAUCUUUGCAAGGUAUGGUGGUGCAUGCCUGUAAUUCCAGUUACUCAGGAGGCUGAGGCAGGAAGAUUGCAAAUUCAAAGCCAGCCUGAUUCAGUCUCAAAAUAAAAUUUUUUAACAGUGUGGUGCUUACUGCUUGCAGUCAUUGCAAGCUCCCUGAGCUCAUGUUUGGCAAGCACAUGACAGUCACUCGGCUCCACAUUCACCCUGCCACUCGGGCCUUGGCUGAGUGCCACUUGGGACCCGUCCUUGUGAGGGUUCGAGAGGCCACUGCCUCCUUCUGUUUGUGACUAAUUUCCAUCCUCCUGAAUGUCCCACAUUCGUUGCAAAUCACACCUGAUGGGAGAAGCCUGUCUUGAGGGAGGAUAACGUCCUUUCCCCUCGCUGUGGAGACUGAAGGCCCCCGGAGCUUGAGCUCUGAGUGGGUGGUGAAAACAGAGGGCCCAGCCUGCAGGAGGAGGCGACACUGAGCCAGAGCAGGAGCCCAGGCUCCUGAGUCUUUUCCUGGGAAAAUCGAGGGCCUUCGGAGGAACCAUUUCCCCACACCUGCUCAUCAGGACCGAAGUGAUCUUUGACUUUUUCCUUUUUUUUUAUUAAGUUUAUUGGUACAUUUUAAAUGACCACAUUCACCAGAGGGAAUCUACCUGUACAUGAUACAUCUUGGUUCUUAUUUUUCUGCAG
This is a long non-coding RNA of Heterocephalus glaber (naked mole-rat), 1577 nucleotides long. The record is from Ensembl. Lineage: Eukaryota; Metazoa; Chordata; Mammalia; Rodentia; Bathyergidae.